This 988-nucleotide ribosomal RNA is filed under the name Micromelo undatus (miniature melo). RNAcentral describes it as "LSU rRNA". The stretch from base 529 to 676 matches the Rfam family "Archaeal large subunit ribosomal RNA", at positions 1889 to 2083 of the family's 2987-position model. Lineage: Eukaryota; Metazoa; Mollusca; Gastropoda; Aplustridae. The record is from RNAcentral.
GAUUUUUAUAUAGUAUGGAAUGAUUAUUUAUUUUGUAGUUCCGCAGGGAAGUACUUAUUCAUACAUCAUUAGUUUUUUACCUUUUGAAUAAUGGUCAUACAAGUAGUUUCAUGUAUUAUGAUUUCCCGAAAUAAGACGAUCUAAAAACUUUGUGUUAAUGGACAUAAUUAGGUUUUGUUGCAAUAAGGCCUAAACAAAAGGUUUUUAGGGAUGAAAUGUCUGUCAAGUCUUAUGAUAUCUGGAAUCCUUUUAAAAGUAUUUAGUACUUUCAAGUCAACUUUAAGGUGUCGAGAUCUUAAAGCAAAAGAAUAGUUAAUAUUUUUGACAAUUUCUUGGAAUAAACCCCUUGAAAAACCUAUCGUCGAAACAUUAAUGAUAGUUUAUAUCUAUUUAUUAAAGGGAAACUGAAAUAAACUUAUACUUUAGUUUAUCCUGUUUGAAUUAGUAAUAAUCAAGUAAUUAAAAACAUCAAAAAGCAUUUAGUAAAUACAAUAAAAUUCUAAGAAGGAACUCGGCAAAUACACCCAUCAUCUGUUUAACAAAAACAUAGCCUGAAGCAUUUAUGUUAGGUUCAGCCUGCCCAGUGUAAUUUUAUUAACGGCCGCGGUACUUUGACCGUGCUAAGGUAGCAUAAUCAGUUGACUUUUAAUUGAAGUCUGGAAUGAAUGGAUAAAUGGGGGUCAGCUGUCUUCAUAAAAUUUUAUUGAACUUACUCUUAAGGUGAAAAAGCCUUAACUUAAUAAAAAGACGAGAAGACCCUAGGAGCUUUAUAAUUAUUUUGUUGGGGCGACAAGGGAAAAUAUAUAGAACAAUCUUCCCUUAAUGAUUUUCUACACAAGACGAGUAUCUAAGAAAGAAAAAGCUACCCUAGGGAUAACAGCAUAAUUUAUUAAUUAAGAUUGUGACCUCGAUGUUGGACUAGGAAUUAGAUAGGUGAGCAACCUUUCUUAAUGGUUCUGUUCGAACUUUUUCUCCUACGUGAUCUGAG